GUGGGGAAUAUUGGACAAUGGGGGGAACCCUGAUCCAGCCAUGCCGCGUGUGUGAAGAAGGCCUUUUGGUUGUAAAGCACUUUAAGCGAGGAGGAGGCUACCGAGAUUAAUACUCUUGGAUAGUGGACGUUACUCGCAGAAUAAGCACCGGCUAACUCUGUGCCAGCAGCCGCGGUGAUACAGAGGGUGCAAGCGUUAAUCGGAUUUACUGGGCGUAAAGCGCGCGUAGGUGGCCAAUUAAGUCAAAUGUGAAAUCCCCGAGCUUAACUUGGGAAUUGCAUUCGAUACUGGUUGGCUAGAGUAUGGGAGAGGAUGGUAGAAUUCCAGGUGUAGCGGUGAAAUGCGUAGAGAUCUGGAGGAAUACCGAUGGCGAAGGCAGCCAUCUGGCCUAAUACUGACACUGAGGUGCGAAAGCAUGGGGAGCAAACAGGAUUAGAAACCCCAGUAGUCC
This 451-nucleotide ribosomal RNA is filed under the name uncultured bacterium. RNAcentral describes it as "partial 16S ribosomal RNA". It matches the Rfam family "Bacterial small subunit ribosomal RNA", at positions 354 to 796 of the family's 1533-position model. The record is from RNAcentral.